CGGAGCGUGGCGCAGUCUGGUAGCGCACCUGCUUUGGGAGCAGGGGGUCGAAGGUUCAAAUCCUUUCGCUCCGACCA
RNAcentral lists this transfer RNA (77 nucleotides) under Desulfovibrio sp. RNAcentral's name for it is "tRNA-Pro". It matches the Rfam family "tRNA". Rfam says of the family: Transfer RNA (tRNA) molecules are approximately 80 nucleotides in length. Their secondary structure includes four short double-helical elements and three loops (D, anti-codon, and T loops). Further hydrogen bonds mediate the characteristic L-shaped molecular structure. tRNAs have two regions of fundamental functional importance: the anti-codon, which is responsible for specific mRNA codon recognition, and the 3' end, to which the tRNAs corresponding amino acid is attached (by aminoacyl-tRNA synthetases). tRNAs cope with the degeneracy of the genetic code in two manners: having more than one tRNA (with a specific anti-codon) for a particular amino acid; and 'wobble' base-pairing, i.e. permitting non-standard base-pairing at the 3rd anti-codon position. Lineage: Bacteria; Pseudomonadati; Thermodesulfobacteriota; Desulfovibrionia; Desulfovibrionales; Desulfovibrionaceae. The record is from RNAcentral.